Molecule: long non-coding RNA, 3401 nt
Organism: Athalia rosae (coleseed sawfly)
Lineage: Eukaryota; Metazoa; Arthropoda; Insecta; Hymenoptera; Athaliidae
Exons: 3
Source: RefSeq, a predicted model, not a curated record
UCGUUUAAAAACUACCCAAAAAAUCUCACUUACAAUUAGUUCGAUGUUCGGAUGUGUGCGGUAUAUUUUUCAUACAGUUUUGAUAAUAUUUAUCAGCAUCAGCAUCGACCUGACUUAAAAUAUUCAUGAAAAUUCAGCGGCAAAAAAUAUAACAUGAGCCACAGGGAUUCGCUGCUGUAAAUGCGUUCACUCUCAUGCAGUAUGAAUUCAGGAUAAAAGCUCGAUGCGGCACUCGUGUAAUGCCGUUUGCAUAAAAUUUACAAACUUGUAAAAACGAACGAAAGAAAAAAAACUACGUUCCGCCUAUAUUUCGAGUUUACGAAAUGAGAUAUAAUUAAUUUGAUACUUUCCCGGGACUGGAAUCCCGGAUCUACAUAAGAAAAAUAUUUCGAUCGGUUCGUGCGUGAUGACGGUCGAAAUUUCGUGGAAGUAAUAAACCGCCAUACAGGUAUUGUGUACUGUAGCAAAUUGAUAAACUGACGAUAAGAAGAUCUAGAUUUGAAAUUAGCACUAACUUUUUUUCCUCGCAUAUUUGGCGUGGUUCUCCCUAAAUGGAGUAUGGAAAAAAGUCGGUUGUCACUAGUUACCGAUUUAGAAAGUGAACAACUGUCACUACCGUAUAACAAAAUGUGAGACACAUGAAUCACGGACUAUAAUAUCUCUAUAUCUCAUGCAUCUCACCCAUCCCGUGCGUUUAAGGAGUCAACAGUUAAUUUCGCGCAACGUGGGUGUCAAAUCGAAUACAUAAUAAUUCUAUAUAAAAUCACCUCACUUACAUAAGGAUAUUAAAAUAUCUUGUUUAUAGAUCCUGUUCAAAUAUCACACAAUAUCGACACCGCGUGAUGACGUCAAAAGCUCCCAUGAUUAAUAUACGAUUAUUAGAUGUUAAUACUGUACAUGUCCGAUCGAGCUAUGGCUGCACUACUGCGAGAUGAAAGUCGGUAACGUGAAGACUUGCGAUUUUUACUCGAUCUUUUUCUGGAAAUAAUCGAAGCUAUCCGUACGAGAAUGUGGAAAAAACUUCAUUUCCAAAUUUGGAUUUAUAAUAGAGACGUAAAAAAAUGAUUGAUGUUUGAAAUUCCAGGUGUUGCCUGAGACUGACGAGUUUUGCUGCAAGUUUCAGGAAUUUCAACUAACUUCUUUAGCGUCCCAUCAGAGCUGGGUGAGACAUUAUUGCAGCAUUGGAAACAAUCCCACGCUCGAAUCGCGUCUCUGAAGAUCAUCGAAAUCAUUGCGGAUUUAUAACAUAAACACGACUAAAAUGGAAUGACGUCGAAGGACAUCCAGAGUCCACGUCGUCGUUACGCUUCGGUACACAUACGAUAUGAUGUUCAAUUAACUCUCGCACUCUCGUUUAUCAGAUGAUCCUUCGCUGCAGUUGUUCAUAAAUUACAUCUUUACGCCUUCUGUUUUUCAGUUUUUCGCAGUUCGAAGGAAAAAAGUGUGUUACGAGUGCGUGCUUUAUACUACGACGCGGAGUGUCGAGUCGGCGCUUCAACUAAAGCGUUUCGAUCCAUUUGACUACGCCGACUCUCCUUCUGAGCUUGCGCUGCCACUCCGAACCGGUGAACCACCGGAACCCAGAAGGAAGAACCGCCUAGGGUGAAGGGCGAAGGGUCGCGCGCCUCUCCCAGUUUAUCACCCAGAAAGAUGCGAGGCUCCCAGUUUUAACUUUUAAGCUGGACCUACGCUGCCGCUGUGCACAUCGCUCUCAGGGUUCGUCCAGAUGCGCAGGACUCCCGCGCCCGCUUACGUCACUGACCCAUAAUACAACACGUCCAUUCGUCUGCGAACUAAUCCCCGAGAGUUGUAUCGAUGAGUACGGUAUAUGAUACAUGCGUAUAAUCCGUUAUACAUAUGUAUAUCAAGUACCUAGGUAUACCUAUGGAGUAUAAAUAUGAAAGCAGUAUACGGUAUCAGCUGUUGAUCAUUCGACAUCACGCGAUUCACGUUUUUCAUGAGCUUCACGAACAACAAGUCGGCUCCGCAGGAGCGGCGUUGAUUCAGUUUUUCGUCCCAACUUGUUGAUUGCGAUUAGAUUUCAUUGAUGGAACCGCGAUCAAGAAUACACAUGUAUACGUGCAUAUAUAUGUGUUUAGCUGGUACAGCUGUUAGUAUGAUAAUGAGCGUAAACUCACGCUCGGAAUUAUUUUUUCUUCUCAUCCAUUAGGAAAAAGCUUUUUUUGAGAUGACUCGCGUGGGUUGUUUGAUGACUGACAAUAAAACAAAAAGCUUUGUCAGAUUGAUACUUAAUGACCAAUUCAUUGUUUUUAGUUCCUAGAGAUAUCUAUUGGAUGUGAAUAAUAUCUGAUCGAGAUUUGACUGUAUUUAGGGCCCGAGAACUUUGAUAAUUAUACUAAUUUUAUUAUAUCCCGAAACUUCUGAUGCGGAAAACGCGAUCAGAAUAUUCAAAUCAAAGUUAUAAUGUUCGCCGAAAUCUUAAUUACGCUUCGCUCAGUUUCGCGAUUUGAAAAAACAAAAUUUCAAACGGUAAAUCUUUUUGUACUCUAACCAAAAGCUAAUACAAUUAUAUCUACUCGAGGAAUUCCCAUAACGGGGGAAACGAAAAAACACCGCGCUUUCCUUGAAUAUAAGUUCACGUCAUUUUAUGGCAAACCUUUAUUCUUUAUCAGAUUAUUUACAUUUCGUUAGCGCAAGUCGUUCUUUAGAAAGCAUUCAACUCGUUCGUUUCAAUCUGAAAGUACGAUUUUGAAUUACCGCACACUUAAAUUAUAAAGAGACGCCGUGAAGUGUUGCGCCAAGUGUACAUUAGGGGUGAUGUGGAGGCCAUAAAGCUCUCCUCACUCUUCCUCGUAUCUUUCAGUAGUAAUACGCGGUACGUGUCAGGCAAUGCUGCUUUAAAACGAGUUGCAUAUCUUUAGGGUGGCUUUAUACUACGUCAAACAGCCAAAGUUUGUAAACUGCGUUGUAUGACGAGACUCCACCCUACAUACCUCCUUGGCACUCUUAACAAUAUGGGUACCGCACAGCAAUUCGAUUAUCGCUUUGUCAGUAGAUUCAGCAUUUUCUGGCAUGGUCCGUUAAGGCAAAAAAAAAAGAUUCCACGUUUUUUUAGUAAUUUUAUUACCUAACAAAGUCUGGUACGAUGUAUGAAAUAACUUCCAUUUGUCAGAAUAGAUCGUGAAUGGCGUCUUUUCAAAAAAUUUGCCGGCGAAUAGGGCGCAUUUGUCACCGGCUUCGGCCAGCUAUUGAAAAGUUUGGAAUCGUUCUUCGAACAAUUCGCUCAUCAUCUUAUUAUUAUUUCUGUGGAGCUUUUGUGGGUUCAAAAAUUUUCAAGCGAAUGGAAGCUUGCGCCUCGACUUGCGCUAUAACGAUGUGGCUUCCAGCUCCUAAUAAUUGCAAAUGGCAAUUUCGUUUUAAUCACUGUACUGAUGCAAUCG